AUUGAACGCUGGCGGCAUGCCUUACACAUGCAAGUCGAACGGCAGCACGGGANCAAUCCUGGUGGCGAGUGGCGAACGGGUGAGUAAUAUAUCGGAACGUGCCCAGUCGUGGGGAUAACGUAGCGAAAGCUACGCUAAUACCGCAUACGAUCUAUGGAUGAAAGCGGGGGAUCGCAAGACCUCGCGCGAUUGGAGCGGCCGAUAUCAGAUUAGGUAGUUGGUGAGGUAAAGGCUCACUAAGCCGACGAUCUGUAGCUGGUCUGAGAGGACGACCAGCCACACUGGGACUGAGACACGGCCCAGACUCCUACGGGAGGCAGCAGUGGGGAAUUUUGGACAAUGGGCGCAAGCCUGAUCCAGCAAUGCCGCGUGCAGGAUGAA
RNAcentral lists this ribosomal RNA (381 nucleotides) under uncultured bacterium. Its description in RNAcentral is "bacterial SSU rRNA". It matches the Rfam family "Bacterial small subunit ribosomal RNA", at positions 30 to 412 of the family's 1533-position model. The record is from RNAcentral.